Molecule: long non-coding RNA, 388 nt
Organism: Hyla sarda
Lineage: Eukaryota; Metazoa; Chordata; Amphibia; Anura; Hylidae
Exons: 3
Source: RefSeq, a predicted model, not a curated record
GAUAAAGGUUUUUUAGGUCAAGGAGGGAACCGGAGUACCCCCACAAGAAACCAACCAGAAGAGGUGAUAGAAGAAGAAACCGGAAAAACAAGAACACGAAGUCAUCGCCCCCAGAGACAAGGGAACAACAGGAAUCAGGGCCCCAAGAAAAAGACAUAAGUAGGACUGUGGAGAACAUCAAGGACGAAUUGGUGAAAACAGAAGUCAUAUCGGAGAAGAAAAAAAAGAGGGCAGACAUUUUUGACCCCUAGGAGGAUGGGAUCAUAUCCUUGCCUGUCCUGCAUAAAUUAUCUAGCUCAAGAUGAAACAUCAAGGAGAAGACAUUACCUGCUCUGUGUAUAUUAUCUGUAUGGCGUAAUUUUAGGGAUUAAUAAACAUCAAGAUAAAU